This 476-nucleotide ribosomal RNA is filed under the name Candidatus Scalindua wagneri. RNAcentral describes it as "bacterial SSU rRNA". It matches the Rfam family "Bacterial small subunit ribosomal RNA", at positions 365 to 832 of the family's 1533-position model. The record is from RNAcentral. RNAcentral also lists the same sequence under 1 other name. Lineage: Bacteria; Pseudomonadati; Planctomycetota; Candidatus Brocadiia; Candidatus Brocadiales; Candidatus Scalinduaceae.
UUCGCAAUGCCCGAAAGGGUGACGAUGCGACGCCGCGUGAGCGAAGAAGGCCCUAGGGUUGUAAAGCUCUGUCGAGGGUUAUGAAAUAUAGAUGGGUUAAUACCCCAUUUAUUUGACAAAAGCCCAAAAGGAAGCCACGGCUAACUCUGUGCCAGCAGCCGCGGUAAUACGGAGGUGGCGAGCGUUGUUCGGUAUUAUUGGGCGUAAAGAGCACGUAGGUGGUUUUGUAAGUCAGGUGUGAAAGCCUUCUGUUCAAAGGAAGAACGGCAUCUGAAACUGCAGAUCUUGAGUGUAGGAGGGGAGAGUGGAACUUCUGGUGGAGCGGUGAAAUGCGUAGAUAUCAGAAGGAACGUCGGCGGCGAAAGCGACUCUCUGGCCUAUUACUGACACUGAGGUGCGAAAGUUAGGGGAGCAAACGGGAUUAGAUACCCCGGUAGUCCUAACCGUAAACGAUGGGCACUAAGUAGAGGGGUUUU